Molecule: ribosomal RNA, 490 nt
Filed under: uncultured bacterium
Lineage: Bacteria
Description: partial 16S ribosomal RNA
Rfam family: Bacterial small subunit ribosomal RNA
Source: RNAcentral
AUUGAACGCUGGCGGCAGGCCUAACACAUGCAAGUCGAACGGUAACAGGAAGCAGCUUGCUGCUUCGCUGACGAGUGGCGGACGGGUGAGUAAUGUCUGGGAAACUGCCUGAUGGAGGGGGAUAACUACUGGAAACGGUAGCUAAUACCGCAUAACGUCGCAAGACCAAAGAGGGGGACCUUAGGGCCUCUUGCCAUCGGAUGUGCCCAGAUGGGAUUAGCUAGUAGGUGGGGUAACGGCUCACCUAGGCGACGAUCCCUAGCUGGUCUGAGAGGAUGACCGGCCACACUGGAACUGAGACACGGUCCAGACUCCUACGGGAGGCAGCAGUGGGGAAUAUUGCACAAUGGGCGCAAGCCUGAUGCAGCCAUGCCGCGUGUAUGAAGAAGGCCUUCGGGUUGUAAAGUACUUUCAGCGGGGAGGAAGGGAGUAAAGUUAAUACCUUUGCUCAUUGACGUUACCCGCAGAAGAAGCACCGGCCAACUCCGUG